GUGGGGAAUCUUCCGCAAUGGACGAAAGUCUGACGGAGCAACGCCGCGUGAGUGAUGAAGGUCUUCGGAUUGUAAAGCUCUGUUAAUCGGGACGAAAGAGCCUAGUGUGAAUAAUGCUAGGAAGUGACGGUACCGGAAUAGAAAGCCACGGCUAACUACGUGCCAGCAGCCGCGGUAAUACGUAGGUGGCAAGCGUUGUCCGGAAUUAUUGGGCGUAAAGCGCGCGCAGGCGGAUCUGCCAGUCUGUCUUAAAAGUUCGGGGCUUAACCCCGUGAUGGGAUGGAAACUACAGAUCUAGAGUAUCGGAGAGGAAAGUGGAAUUCCUAGUGUAGCGGUGAAAUGCGUAGAUAUUAGGAAGAACACCAGUGGCGAAGGCGACUUACUGGACUGUAACUGACGCUGAGGCGCGAAAGUGUGGGGAGCAAACAGGAUUAGAAACCCCGGUAGUCC
Molecule: ribosomal RNA, 450 nt
Filed under: uncultured bacterium
Lineage: Bacteria
Description: partial 16S ribosomal RNA
Rfam family: Bacterial small subunit ribosomal RNA
Source: RNAcentral